RNAcentral lists this ribosomal RNA (1346 nucleotides) under uncultured bacterium. Its description in RNAcentral is "partial 16S ribosomal RNA". It matches the Rfam family "Bacterial small subunit ribosomal RNA", at positions 28 to 1381 of the family's 1533-position model. The record is from RNAcentral.
GACGAACGCUGGCGGCGUGCUUAACACAUGCAAGUCGAACGGAAAGGCCCUGCUUUUGUGGGGUGCUCGAGUGGCGAACGGGUGAGUAACACGUGAGUAACCUGCCCUUGACUUUGGGAUAACUUCAGGAAACUGGGGCUAAUACCGGAUAGGAGCUCCUGCUGCAUGGUGGGGGUUGGAAAGUUUCGGCGGUUGGGGAUGGACUCGCGGCUUAUCAGCUUGUUGGUGGGGUAGUGGCUUACCAAGGCUUUGACGGGUAGCCGGCCUGAGAGGGUGACCGGCCACAUUGGGACUGAGAUACGGCCCAGACUCCUACGGGAGGCAGCAGUGGGGAAUAUUGCACAAUGGGCGGAAGCCUGAUGCAGCAACGCCGCGUGCGGGAUGACGGCCUUCGGGUUGUAAACCGCUUUCGCCUGUGACGAAGCGUGAGUGACGGUAAUGGGUAAAGAAGCACCGGCUAACUACGUGCCAGCAGCCGCGGUGAUACGUAGGGUGCGAGCGUUGUCCGGAUUUAUUGGGCGUAAAGGGCUCGUAGGUGGUUGAUCGCGUCGGAAGUGUAAUCUUGGGGCUUAACCCUGAGCGUGCUUUCGAUACGGGUUGACUUGAGGAAGGUAGGGGAGAAUGGAAUUCCUGGUGGAGCGGUGGAAUGCGCAGAUAUCAGGAGGAACACCAGUGGCGAAGGCGGUUCUCUGAGCCUUUCCUGACGCUGAGGAGCGAAAGCGUGGGGAGCGAACAGGCUUAGAUACCCUGGUAGUCCACGCUGUAAACGGUGGGUACUAGGUGUGGGGUCCAUUCCACGGGUUCCGUGCCGUAGCUAACGCUUUAAGUACCCCGCCUGGGGAGUACGGCCGCAAGGCUAAAACUCAAAGGAAUUGACGGGGCCCCGCACAAGCGGCGGAGCAUGCGGAUUAAUUCGAUGCAACGCGUAGAACCUUACCUGGGUUUGACAUGGAUCGGGAGUGCUCAGAGAUGGGUGUGCCUCUUUUGGGGUCGGUUCACAGGUGGUGCAUGGCUGUCGUCAGCUCGUGUCGUGAGAUGUUGGGUUAAGUCCCGCAACGAGCGCAACCCUUGUUCACUGUUGCCAGCACGUUAUGGUGGGGACUCAGUGGAGACCGCCGGGGUCAACUCGGAGGAAGGUGGGGAUGACGUCAAGUCAUCAUGCCCCUUAUGUCCAGGGCUUCACGCAUGCUACAAUGGCUGGUACAGAGAGUGGCGAGCCUGUGAGGGUGAGCGAAUCUCGGAAAGCCGGUCUCAGUUCGGAUUGGGGUCUGCAACUCGACCUCAUGAAGUCAGAGUCGCUAGUAAUCGCAGAUCAGCAACGCUGCGGUGAAUAAGUUCCCGGGGCU